Molecule: ribosomal RNA, 331 nt
Filed under: uncultured bacterium
Lineage: Bacteria
Description: bacterial SSU rRNA
Rfam family: Bacterial small subunit ribosomal RNA
Source: RNAcentral
AUUGAACGCUGGCGGCAUGCUUUACACAUGCAAGUCGAACGGCAGCACGGGGGCAACCCUGGUGGCGAGUGGCGAACGGGUGAGUAACACAUCGGAACGUGCCCAGUUGUGGGGGAUAACCUAUCGAAAGGUAGGCUAAUACCGCAUGAGCUCGGCAAGAGGAAAGCGGGGGGACUCAGCGAUGGGCCUCGCGCGACUGGAGCGGCCGAUGUCCGAUUAGCUAGUUGGUGGGGUAAAGGCUUACCAAGGCGACGAUCGGUAGCUGGUCUGAGAGGAUGAUCAGCCACACUGGGACUGAGACACGGCCCAGACUCCUACGGGAGGCAGCAGU